CUGGUAGGACUGCGACGACGAGAGCAUGUUCAAACUCCUCAAGUCGCAGGUGGGGAAGUACUUGCAGAAGCGAUUUGCUGACACUUGGAACCAUUUGGUCCGACCGUUGUGGUUGGCCGAGGAGAUCUGGCACCAACUCCUGGAGUUUUGGUCGAGCCCAUAAUUCUAGGCACAGUCAGCCAAAAAUAAGGUCAAUCGGGGAGCAAACUUAGAAGCAGCUACGACCGUCUACUGCGAGGGUCGUCAUCCGUUGGGUUGCACAAGCGAAAGAUGACGCCCCGUCACUCAAAUAGAGGUGUUCGAAAAGGUCUACAAAAAGAAGGACGGUCAGCGGAGCAGCCUGAGUGCGGAGGAGGUCACGGACAUAUUUUUUAGGAUGAUGGAGGAAUGUUAGAGACAGCACAACAGCAAUUAAGAGCCUCUAUUGUCGUCUAAAGGCUCCAUGGCCCCGGACGAGUAGUAGGUCCAGAUAUCAGCAGCGGGCGACCGGAAGAAGGGCCGAGUAUUCGGUCUCGAUUUCGAGGCCCACCACUCGGUUGCUGAACUAUUGCAGGCUAGCCAUUUGACUAGUCCAUUGCCCUCGCCACCACAGUCGCAAUGCCCCGACAUAGAUGAUCGAGUGUUGGCCCUCGAGCGCUACAUCAGAAGCAU
Molecule: long non-coding RNA, 651 nt
Organism: Sesamum indicum (sesame)
Lineage: Eukaryota; Viridiplantae; Streptophyta; Magnoliopsida; Lamiales; Pedaliaceae
Source: RefSeq, a predicted model, not a curated record